This 191-nucleotide ribosomal RNA is filed under the name uncultured bacterium. RNAcentral's name for it is "partial 16S ribosomal RNA". It matches the Rfam family "Bacterial small subunit ribosomal RNA", at positions 338 to 521 of the family's 1533-position model. The record is from RNAcentral.
CCUACGGGAGGCAGCAGUGGGGAAUAUUGGACAAUGGGGGCAACCCUGAUCCAGCAACGCCGCGUGGAGGAAGAAGGCCUUCGGGUCGUAAACUCCUGUCAGGUGGGACGAAACAGCCGAGGUCAAUAGCCUCGGUUUCUGACGGUACCGCCAGAGGAAGCCCCGGCUAACUCCGUGCCAGCAGCCGCGGU